GGAGGCAAUUUCAAAAUUUCCACUCUCGGUUGUAAGCAAGAAUAAAAUCGAAUGAAUUUACAUGAUUUUAGAAAACAUUACAAAAAUAUGAUUGAUGUUGACGAUGAAGAUAGCGGAAGGAGUGAUUCCGACGAACGGUUCGAUGAUGCAACGGAAAUGCCAGGUGAAGGAUGUAACGAAAGUUUUAAAGAUCUACUUACUGAAUGUCAAUCAGUAACUGAUAUAAAUAUGAGAUACGCUGGAGAUAGUAACAUUGAAAAUGAAAUAGAAAAAAAUAAUAACAAAGAAGAUGAAGCGGGUGAUAAAGAAAUUAAUGAAAAUAGUAAAGUUGAAUUAAGUAUUGAUGAAUUGAACGAACAAAGAAAUAUUCGAUGUGAAUUAUGUAAAUAUUUUUAUGUUAUUGGGAAUGAAACUCAUAUUGUACACGCUCAUGAACCAUGGCCUAAAGAUGUAAAACUUUUCCAACCCUAUGAAGUAGAACAAAUUCUUCUUCCCGACAAUGCAAAUUGUUUAGCUGUUCAAGCAUACCUAAAAAUGUGUCACUUAGAUUUUCAAAUUGAAUCAAGAGCGAAUGCAGAGUUUAUGUCACCCACUGGAAAAGUUCCAUUCAUUAAAUGUGGCGCCUUUGUUGUUGCUGAAUUAGAAGGAAUUGUCUCAUUUGUUGCACAAAAAGGAAUCACUCUUACUGAGCACUUAGAACCUGACCAAAAGGCUGAUAUGAGAGCAUAUAUUGCUUUGAUUAAUAAUGUGCUUGGAAAUGCUGAAAAUUAUGUCUGUUGGUGUGAUAAAGAAACAUAUUCUGAAGUUACUAAGCCUCGAAAUGGUUCUGUUUAUCCUUGGCCUUUAAAUAUAUUACAAACUUGGAGUAAAAAAUCGAAACAGGUUAAACAUUUGAAAACUUUGGGUUGGUAUGAAAAGAGUUUAAAAGAGGUUUUCCAAGAAGUUGAAACUUGUUGUCAAGCUUUAACUGAUCGACUGGAGGGUAGUAUUUAUUUCUUUGGAGAUAGUCCUACAGAAUUAGACGCUUUAUUAUUUGGACAUUUAUUCACAAUUUUAACAACUCCACUGCCCAAUUCUGAUUUAGCAGCAACUGUAAGAAAAUUUCCGUCCCUUAUCAAUUUGGUCCAAAAAGUAGAAAAGGAUUACUUCAAGCGUGAUAGAGAAAGUUUGGAUCGCUGACAGUUCUUUAUCAAAAAAAUGUAGAAGUAGUCUUUAUUAAUUGUAUAUUAUUGUUUAAUAUUGCUAAAGAAUAAAAUAUAACUUUAUAACAAGUCGAAUUCGUUACUUACUAGGGAUCACCCUGUUGGACACUACAUUUAAAAUAUAUUGAAAAGUACUGAUGGGGAAAUUGAAAGAGGAAAUUGAGAGGGGUGAGUUGUUGCCAAUAUAUAUUGAAACACCUGGCAGAUAGGGAAUUGAACAAGAAGGGAGGAAAGUUGUAUGCAUUGUUCAUAGACCUUAUCAAAUACCUUCUAUUUGAUAAGGUGGAUACAGGGAAGAUGUGGGAGGAAAUGAGGAGGAGAGGUAUCACAGAACUGCAGAUUGAGAGAGUGAAGGAGGAUACAUACAGGGAGGUAGUGGCUAAGGUUAAAGUGGGGGAAGAGUUAAGCGAGGUAUUCUGGACGACGAAGGAAUUGAGACAAGGGUGCCCACACUAUUUGCGAUGUAUAUGGCGGACUUGGAAAAGAGAUUUGGGAGAGGGCAAAUAGGUGAGGUGGUGAUAGGAAGAACGAAGGUGCACGCGUUGGCGUAUGCGGAUGAUUUGGUGGUCGUGGCUAGAGAGGCGGUAGAGAUGAUGAGGUCUCUGGAGAGGUAUUUUAUGGCGCGGGGGUAACGAGGAUUGCUGAAGGAUGUACAAACGAAGGUAUUGGAGAUAGGUCGAGAGACUUGGCGAGGGAGACUCCACUUGUAGUGGGGGAGGAGGUUAAGGUGAAUGCAGUAAGGAUGGAGGCUGGGAGAAGAGCUAUGAAAUACGAGGAAAUGAUAGAAGGAAGACCGCAUUUCAGGAUCCUGGGAAGGUGCUGGAAAAAAAUUAAGGAGAGCAAGCUGAUAUAUGGGCAGACAUAUAGGGAAGGAUAUUAUAGGACUGUGGGAUAUUUUCUAACUGGGAUCAACAACAGAAGAGUGGAUAGAGGUGAAAUGUGGGGAGAACUGAGAAAUAGCGACAGGGACAUACAGCAGCAGAAAAGAAGGCCACAGAGGAACUGCCAAAGUAUCUGUUGAUGGAGGGGGAUGCUGAAGGGAUGAUAUUGGUGCUCAGAUUCCGCUGUGGCAAUGAGGAGAGUUAGAACAGGUACUGGGCGAACGAUGUGGAGAGGAUUGGGAGACGCUGGAACACAUUCUGAGAAGGUGAGCUAAGGGAGGAGGCGAUGGACAGGAAGCAGAUUUUGGGAGAGGGGAUGGGUCAAAAGAUGGAUGAGGGAGAUGAUUGGGGCGAAGAGCCAAGGGUAUGGGUCUAUACAUAUAUUGUACUGGAGAAAUAUUGUAAAUUGUAAACAAUAAAACGCUUAUUAGUA
This 2516-nucleotide unclassified non-coding RNA is filed under the name Onthophagus taurus. RNAcentral describes it as "metaxin-2-like, transcript variant X1". The record is from RNAcentral. Lineage: Eukaryota; Metazoa; Arthropoda; Insecta; Coleoptera; Scarabaeidae.